AAAGGCUCAAAGGGCCACUCUCUUUAGAUCCAACCCUGCUACGAUGUUCUGAUUCUUUACCAAGAACAAGCACAACCCAUUAUUGCUGUUUCUUAAAGGAUAACAAGUAAUAGAGCUUUUAAGAGAAUGGGGUGCUUUUGCAAAGGAGUGGGCAAGUCGGAGAGAAUGCAGGCCAACAUUUUCUCUGGUAAGGGUCCAGCCAUGGCCACAAUCUCCUGCUCCGGCAACGGAACAUCUGGCA
RNAcentral lists this unclassified non-coding RNA (241 nucleotides) under Hevea brasiliensis (rubber tree). The record is from RNAcentral. Lineage: Eukaryota; Viridiplantae; Streptophyta; Magnoliopsida; Malpighiales; Euphorbiaceae.